AAACCCNUUGUCAAUUUGGAGUCACCCGUUGUUNUUUAUAAAGAAUGACAGGCCCUGAUAUGUGGCGGAANGAGGGAAGGGACGGGCUUAACUUCUGUGCCAGGCAGCCGCGGGUAAUACAGAGGUUCCCAGCGUUGUUCGGAUUCACUGGGCGUAAAGGGUGCGUAGGUGGCAGGGUAAGUCGAAUGUGAAAUCUCCGAGCUCAACUCGGAAAUGGCAUUGGAAACUGCUUGGCUCGAGGGUUGGAGGGGGGACUGGAAUACUUGGUGUAGCAGUGAAAUGCGUAGAUAUCAAGUGGAACACCAGUGGCGAAGGCGAGUCCCUGGACAACUCCUGACACUGAGGCACGAAAGCUAGGGGAGCAAACAGGAUUAGAUACCCUGGUAGUCCUAGCCGUAAACGGUGCACGUUUGCUGUAAAAGGAAUCGACCCCUUUUGUGGCGUAGCCAACGCGUUAAACGUGCCGCCUGGGAAGUACGGUCGCAAGAUUAAAACUCAAAGAAAUUGACGGGGGCCUGCACAAGCGGUGGAGUAUGUGGCUCAAUUCGAUGCAACGCGAAGAACCUUACCUGGCCUUGACAUGUACGUAGUAGAAGGGUGAAAGCCUGACGAGAUAGCAAUAUCAGCGUACACAGGUGCUGCAUGGCUGUCGUCAGCUCGUGUCGUGAGAUGUUGGGUUAAGUCCCGCAACGAGC
Molecule: ribosomal RNA, 695 nt
Filed under: uncultured Verrucomicrobiota bacterium
Lineage: Bacteria; Pseudomonadati; Verrucomicrobiota
Description: bacterial SSU rRNA
Rfam family: Bacterial small subunit ribosomal RNA
Source: RNAcentral